GUCAGCAGCCAUAUCACUCUGCAACUCAGAACUGGCAACCCACUGAAGCUAAGCAGGUGUGAGCCUUUUCAGUACCUGGAUGGGAGACCUCCUGGGAAAAACUAAGGUUGCUGCCGGAA
Lepisosteus oculatus (spotted gar) is the source of this 119-nucleotide ribosomal RNA. The record is from Ensembl. Lineage: Eukaryota; Metazoa; Chordata; Actinopteri; Semionotiformes; Lepisosteidae.